AGAGUUUGAUCCUGGCUCAGGAUGAACGCUAGCGGGAGGCUUAACACAUGCAAGUCGAGGGGCAGCACGGGGUAGCAAUACUUUGGUGGCGACCGGCGCACGGGUGAGUAACACGUAUGCAACCUACCUCGUACAGGGGGAUAACCCGGAGAAAUUCGGACUAAUAUCCCAUAAUGAUAUUGAAAGGCAUCUUUUAAUAUUUAAAGCUCAGGCGGUACGGGAUGGGCAUGCGGAACAUUAGCUGGUUGGUAGGGUAACGGCCUACCAAGGCUACGAUGUUUAGGGGACCUGAGAGGGUUAUCCCCCACACUGGUACUGAGACACGGACCAGACUCCUACGGGAGGCAGCAGUGAGGAAUAUUGGUCAAUGGGCGCAAGCCUGAACCAGCCAUCCCGCGUGAAGGAAGAAGGCGCUAUGCGUUGUAAACUUCUUUUCCAGGGGGAGAAUUUUCCGGUCGUGACCGGGAUUGACGGUACUCUGGGAAUAAGCAUCGGCUAACUCCGUGCCAGCAGCCGCGGUAAUACGGAGGAUGCGAGCGUUAUCCGGAUUUAUUGGGUUUAAAGGGUGCGUAGGCGGAUCAAUAAGUCAGUGGUGAAAUUCUGCAGCUUAACUGUAGACUUGCCAUUGAUACUGUUGGUCUUGAGUAUGGUCAAGGUAGGCGGAAUGUGUAAUGUAGCGGUGAAAUGCUUAGAUAUUACACAGAACACCGAUUGCGAAGGCAGCUUGCUGGGCCAAUACUGACGCUGAUGCACGAAAGCGUGGGGAUCGAACAGGAUUAGAUACCCUGGUAG
This 792-nucleotide ribosomal RNA is filed under the name uncultured bacterium. Its description in RNAcentral is "bacterial SSU rRNA". It matches the Rfam family "Bacterial small subunit ribosomal RNA", at positions 8 to 793 of the family's 1533-position model. The record is from RNAcentral.